UAGGGAAUCUUCCGCAAUGGACGAAAGUCUGACGGAGCAACGCCGCGUGAGUGAAGAAGGAUUUCGGUUCGUAAAACUCUGUUGUUAGGGAAGAAAAAAUGUAUAGUAACUAUAUACAAAAGAGACGGUACCUAACCAGAAAGCCACGGCUAACUACGGGCCAGCAGCCGCGGUAAUACGGAGGGGGCAAGCGAUGUACGGAAUUAUUGGGCGUAAAGCGCGCGCAGGUGGUUUAGAAAGUCUGAUGUGAAAGCCCACGGCUCAACCGUGGAGGGUAAUUAGAAACUAAUAAACUUGAGUGCAGGAGAGAAAAGUGGAAUUCCUAGUGUAGCGGUGAAAUGCGUAGAGAUUAGGAGGAACACCGGUGGCGAAAGCGGCUUUUUGGCCUGCAACUGACACUGAGGCGCGAAAGCGUGGGGAGCAAACAGG
RNAcentral lists this ribosomal RNA (429 nucleotides) under Verrucomicrobiota bacterium. RNAcentral's name for it is "Verrucomicrobia bacterium partial 16S ribosomal RNA". It matches the Rfam family "Bacterial small subunit ribosomal RNA", at positions 355 to 776 of the family's 1533-position model. Lineage: Bacteria; Pseudomonadati; Verrucomicrobiota. The record is from RNAcentral.